This 253-nucleotide unclassified non-coding RNA is filed under the name uncultured Bacillaceae bacterium. RNAcentral describes it as "contains 16S-23S intergenic spacer region". It matches the Rfam family "Bacterial small subunit ribosomal RNA", at positions 524 to 776 of the family's 1533-position model. Lineage: Bacteria; Bacillati; Bacillota; Bacilli; Caryophanales; Bacillaceae. The record is from RNAcentral.
UACGGAGGAUCCAAGCGUUGUCCGGAAUUAUUGGGCGUAAAGCGCGCGUAGGCGGUUUCUUAAGUCUGAUGUGAAAUCUUGCGGCUCAACCGCAAGCGGUCAUUGGAAACUGGGGAACUUGAGUGCAGAAGAGGAGAGUGGAAUUCCACGUGUAGCGGUGAAAUGCGUAGAUAUGUGGAGGAACACCAGUGGCGAAGGCGACUCUCUGGUCUGUAACUGACGCUGAGGUGCGAAAGCGUGGGGAGCGAACAGG